This is a non-coding RNA of Mauremys reevesii (Reeves's turtle), 1482 nucleotides long. Lineage: Eukaryota; Metazoa; Chordata; Testudines; Geoemydidae. The record is from the annotation of a RefSeq genome assembly.
AUGGCCGUUAGUGCCACGGCCCCAUCUGUCUUCCCCCUGACCUCCUGCACCGGCGAAGUCACCACCUCCCAGGUCACCUUCGGCUGCCUGGCCAAAGGCUACUUCCCCGAGCCGGUCACCGUGACAUGGAGCCCGAACGUCGGCUCCUCGGGCGUGAGGACCUAUCCCUCCGUGCUGCAACCUUCCAGCGGCCUCUACUCGCUCAGCAGCCAGGUCACCGUCCCGGCCAGCAGCUGGGAGUCUAACACCUAUCGAUGCACCGUACAGCACCAGCCCACCAGCUCCAGCAUCUCCAAGGAAAUCCCAAAGCCCCCCGAACCCCCCAAGCUGGAACUCUUCUACUCCUGCACCGACUCAGGCGCCAUCCAGGCCGUGUGUUUGAUCUCCCACUUCAACAGCGCGGAUUUGACAGUGCAUUGGAUAGUGAAUUUCCAGAUACAAAAGGGUGACAUUGACCAGCCCACAAAGGACGCCAACGGCCAGACCUUCAGCACCCGCAGCAGUAUCAUUGUGACCGAGUGGCCGGGUGACUCUCCCCUCACCUGUCAGGUGUCCCAGCCGGGCACCUCCAUGAUAUUGCAGGCCCACGCCCAGAAAUGCCAAGAAGAAACAACGUCUCCCAGCAACAUCCAAGUCUUCCUGGUGCCCCCGUCUCCUGCUGACUUGUAUGUGAACCAGAGCCCCAUGCUCACCUGCCUGGUGGUCAACCUGCCUAGCAACUGCAGCCUCCAGGUGGUCUGGUCCCGGGAGAAGCCGGGCUCCAUUGUCCCUGAACCCCUGACCCUCACUGAGCAGCUCAACAGCACCUUCACCGCCUCCAGCUCCAUGCCCAUCUUCACCCGCGACUGGGAGGCCGGAGAGAACUUCACCUGCAAAGUGGAGCACUCGGGGCUGCCCUCACCCCUCAUCAAAUCGAUCUCCAAGAAGACAGGCAGGCACUCUGCCCCUGGCAUCUACCUCCUGCGCCCCCACAACGAGGAGCUGAGCAGCUCCGAAGACUCCGUCAGCCUCACCUGCCUGGUGCGGGGCUUCUUCCCCGAGGACAUCUCGGUGCAGUGGAUGAAGAACCACAAACCCAGAGAGAGUUUGGAAUACAUCACCACCCAGCCCAUCAAGGACAGAGCCGGCGACUCAAACUUCUUCCUCUACAGCAAGCUGAAAGUCAGCAAGGACAGCUGGAACAGAGGGGACGUCUACACAUGCAUGGUCAUCCACGAAGCCCUCUCAUUGAAGUUCACCCAACGCAGCAUCAGCAAAGUAUCUGAGGUGAUCGUGUCAGGUGAGUUUUGUAGUGAGGACGGAGACGAGGAGCUGGACGGCCUCUGGUCCACCAUCUCAGUCUUCAUCACCCUCUUCCUCUUGAGCGUGUGCUACAGCGCCACCAUGACCCUGUUCAAGGUGAAGUGGCUUUUCUCUGUCAUGGUGCAGCUGAAUCAGGCGAGUGGCCCCGAGUACAAGAACGAGAUCCAGAGCGUGGUGUAG